This 323-nucleotide ribosomal RNA is filed under the name uncultured eukaryote. RNAcentral describes it as "partial 18S ribosomal RNA". It matches the Rfam family "Eukaryotic small subunit ribosomal RNA", at positions 1470 to 1796 of the family's 1831-position model. The record is from RNAcentral.
CCCUUAGAUGUUCUGGGCCGCACGCGUGCUACACUGAGUGGAUCAGCGGGUCAGGUUGCGCGAAAGUGUUUCCUAAUCUUUAAAUCCGCUCGUGAUGGGGAUUGACGGUUGCAAUUUUCUGUCAUGAACGAGGAAUACCUUGUAAGCGCGGGUCAUCAUCCCGCGCUGAAUACGUCCCUGCCCUUUGUACACACCGCCCGUCGCUCCUACCGAUUGAAUGAUCCGAUGAAUAUCAUGGAUUGAGGAUGCAAGCAGGUUCGCCUGUCUUCAUCUUCGAGAAGUGAAGUAAAUCUUAUCAUUUAGAGGAAGGAGAAGUCGUAACA